This is a long non-coding RNA of Austrofundulus limnaeus, 676 nucleotides long. RefSeq lists it as uncharacterized. The transcript has 3 exons. NCBI's taxonomy places the organism in Eukaryota, Metazoa, Chordata, Actinopteri, Cyprinodontiformes, Rivulidae. The record is from RefSeq and is a predicted model, not a curated record.
GAAUCAAAGAUCUAUAAGUCUGAAAUGUUAUAAACCUGAACAAAGCUGGACAGUUUCUGCACAGAUGUUUAUUUAUUUCCUUUAGAUUUCCCACUUCAAGAUCCCACACUAUGUGAUGUUUGUAGACAGCUUCCCACUGACGUCCUCAGGAAAGAUCAAGAAGAGACAAAUAAAGGAAGAAAUGGAGAAGAAAUUAGGUCUUUAGGUUUUUAGAUCUUACUGCAAACUGGAUGAGAACACUGUCAGUUGGGUCGAAGAGGCAACAGGUCCCAAAGKGAAAUCCAGACAUCCCUCUCCCCAGUAACACUUUCCAGCUCGUCCUGGGGGACCCGGAAGCAUUCCCAGGACAGAGGGGCUACAUAACCCAUGACCAUAUCAUCAUGUUGUGUAAUAAUGUUGAAAAUUAUAUAUUGAGCUCAUAAAAAAAUCUAUCUAUAAAACUUAAUAAAAGUCUUUUUAGUGCCUAGAUCUGCAAAUGAACUAUUGAAAACAAAUUAAUGAAACAAAYAGUUUUCAUUUGGAUGGUUUUACAUUUCUUAUUAUAAAAUAAAAACUAUUUACAAUAUCUAUGAAAAUCCCUGAUAAGACCUACAAAUUGUCAAUAAAGGUUUUAAGUCAUUGUGUAUUUUUUAAAUCACCAUUCUGUUUGACAAAAUAAAUUGUUAUACAAACAGCA